This 484-nucleotide ribosomal RNA is filed under the name uncultured bacterium. Its description in RNAcentral is "partial 16S ribosomal RNA". It matches the Rfam family "Bacterial small subunit ribosomal RNA", at positions 30 to 507 of the family's 1533-position model. The record is from RNAcentral.
AUUGAACGCUGGCGGCAGGCCUAACACAUGCCAGUCGAGCGGAUGAAGGGAGCUUGCUCCUGGAUUCAGCGGCGGACGGGUGAGUAAUGCCUAGGAAUCUGCCUGGUAGUGGGGGAUAACGUCCGGAAACGGGCGCUAAUACCGCAUACGUCCUGAGGGAGAAAGUGGGGGAUCUUCGGACCUCACGCUAUCAGAUGAGCCUAGGUCGGAUUAGCUAGUUGGUGGGGUAAAGGCCUACCAAGGCGACGAUCCGUAACUGGUCUGAGAGGAUGAUCAGUCACACUGGAACUGAGACACGGUCCAGACUCCUACGGGAGGCAGCAGUGGGGAAUAUUGGACAAUGGGCGAAAGCCUGAUCCAGCCAUGCCGCGUGUGUGAAGAAGGUCUUCGGAUUUUAAAGCACUUUAAGUUGGGAGGAAGGGCAGUAAGUUAAUACCUUGCUGUUUUGACGUUACCAACAGAAUAAGCACCGGCUAACUUCGUG